AGUGAACGCUGGCGGUAGGCCUAACACAUGCAAGUCGAACGGCAGCACAAGAGAGCUUGCUCUCUGGGUGGCGAGUGGCGGACGGGUGAGGAAUACAUCGGAAUCUACUCUGUCGUGGGGGAUAACGUAAGGAAACUUACGCUAAUACCGCAUACGACCUACGGGUGAAAGCAGGGGACCUUCGGGCCUUGCGCGAUUGAAUGAGCCGAUGUCGGAUUAGCUAGUUGGCGGGGUAAAGGCCCACCAAGGCGACGAUCCGUAGCUGGUCUGAGAGGAUGAUCAGCCACACUGGAACUGAGACACGGUCCAGACUCCUACGGGAGGCAGCAGUGGGGAAUAUUGGACAAUGGGCGCAAGCCUGAUCCAGCCAUACCGCGUGGGUGAAGAAGGCCUUCGGGUUGUAAAGCCCUUUUGUUGGGAAAGAAAUCCAGCUGGCUAAUACCCGGUUGGGAUGACGGUACCCAAAGAAUAAGCACCGACUAACUUCGUGCCAGCAGCCGCGGUAA
RNAcentral lists this ribosomal RNA (506 nucleotides) under uncultured bacterium. Its description in RNAcentral is "partial 16S ribosomal RNA". It matches the Rfam family "Bacterial small subunit ribosomal RNA", at positions 29 to 523 of the family's 1533-position model. The record is from RNAcentral.